GGCAAUGGGAAUAAAAGGGGGAAACUUGUGUUGAAACCUGGAUGCUAACUAAUUGCUAGCAUUGUCCCAUUAAGGGGUAGAUUUGGACCAGGACUGCCAGUUGCUGAUGAUAAUGCUUAGUCUGUUGGAAGUGCAACACCAGAGAUCAAUUAGUCUGUAACUUAAGGGGUUAAUUUAGUUCUCAAUGCUAGUCAGCUAUUCAAGGGCUGUGUGUGGAGGUGUUGCUUAACAACCAGUCAUAGUGGCAUGAGCCUCACUGAUUGGCUAUGUAGAGUUUUCCUCUAUAUAUUUCGUUGUUUGUCUCCCUGCUAUGUGCAAGACCUGAAGUAAGACAAAACUUCUCUGUUCCUUUCUCCUCAGAUCACACACUGUAUUCAGUUUCCCCACUAAAGAAUUAUCAGAAUUUCUUUUCUCAGUGGACUGCAUCAACAUUAUUUUAAGUGACUUGACUAACCUAGCCUUGCUGAGAAAUUCUACCAGGACCUCUAGGUACUAGGCUCUGAGUAAAAUAUCAGCUGAAAUACAUCUGCAUUGAUUUGGAACACAUCCCCUUCCAAAUUAUAAGGCAUAUCCAUAUCUCCAGAUAAAAGGAAGCAAUUUCUUCAAAGAGGCUGCGUCUCCUCCUUCCAUCAUCUCAGCUUCACCUCCUGCAAUCAGAGUGCCAUGGGUUCAAGUGGGUGCUAAACCCACCCUUAUGCAGGCUUUCCUUUGGCGUCAUAACAGCCUCUUCCUAUUGUUUGACUUGAGAGGAGAACCUUGCUAAUUGGCAGCGUAGCACUGUGCACUGAGGAGAAGAAGAGCAGCUGUGUGUGCCUCUCAGCUUCCUGGAGAGGUUGCAAUGGCAAGGCACUUCCAGCUCCUCCAGCGUUUCCCCAGCCAAACAAACAAAAAAGAACCCAGCCAAACAAACAUGCAGAUGUAUAUUCAUGUGCAGCGUCAAGAGAUCUGCUCCUGCCUGCCCAAGGAGAAUUGGGAUUUGAUUUGCAUCUUCAGGAAAAGGAACUCUUUGUCUCUGAGAAGGGUCUCCAAGCAAUUAGCAGAUGGAGCAAUGGGGCAGAUGAAUGGGAGUUGGAGGAAGAGGAAGCAGAGAAAGGGACUUCAACCUCUUGUGAAAAUUAGUCCCUAGGUGUGGGUGGGGAGGCUUUUUGAAAACUUCAUCUAUGUGCUGCCUUUCUGAGGUGGAUUUUAUCCCAAAGCAAAGCAUUUGCACUGCUGUCUCAAACCAUGAAAACAAUAAGAUGAUUCCUUAUAAUGAAUUUUUUAGAGUUUAUUUUGAGAAUCCUAUAUACUUCAGAGUUUGUGAAUGCGUAGGUGAACCUUGGUGGCAGGAGAUGUAGUACGUUUUUGAUUGUGAUGCUUUGCAUGAUGAUGGUGAUUUUAACAAAAAAUGCACACUAGUAUUCUUGUUGCUGGCAAUUCUGAGAAAGUCAUUCAUGCUGGCCAAACCAGAGAGAGACAGACAGAGAGAGAGCUAAACCAGAUCUUAAACAGAAGACAUUUUUUUUAUAAUGAAAAAUCGAUGGGGGGAGAUUCCUGGCAAUUGGACUGAAAGAGAGGCAGAGAAGAGGAAGGGAUGUUUCACCCCCUCAGGGAUGACACCCAGGAUAGGCCACACACCCCGCACCCCCCUUCCUACACCCCUGGGGGCAGCAAGAGCUGGGAUUAAGACUAACAUGGCUCAUUUUGUGGGGUGCCAUGAAACAUGGAGUUUUGACCACCAAACAUUACAGGGGCCUUUAUCCCUGUAUUUGGUGCCACUUUGGAGUGAAUUCGAUGACGUCGGGCUUUUGGCAAAAUCUUGACCCUCGCGGGUUAGGGCGCUGAGGGCUCGUUUUGUAGGAUGCUGUCAAAUGUGGUGUUUUGACUGCCAAACAUUGCAGGGGGUCUAGUCCCAGCGUUAGGCACUGUUUUGGAGUGAAUCGGACGAUGUUGGGCUUUUAGCAAAAUCUUGGCCCUGAGGGUUAGGGCCUCCCUGCAGGGUAGGCUCACCCCUGCAUUACAGGCUUAGGAGUCAGAGAGAGUUGAGAUGUUUGCACACAUGGUCUAAUUUCCCUUAAGCAGUUUAAACAUUUGUACAAGCUCUUGAGACUUGUGUUUCUUAGGUCCUUAGUUGUAGUUACCGUAUUGGCCUGAAUAUAAGCCUCACUUUCCCCCCAAAUUCUGACCGUGAAAAGUUAAAGUGCAGCUUAUAUUUGUGACCUUACGGUAUGCAGCCAGGAGCGUGGCAAAGUGGCGCCCGCCCCAUGUGUAGUCCCCCGUCCUCUCCCCCAAGAGUGAGGAAGGGGAAAGGCUGCCAGCAAUGCAGUGUGCCCCCCACUCCGUAUGCAGCCAGGAGCAGCAAGGAAGGGUGUGCCUUAUAUUCAGGUUACUCUCCUCCUUUCUUUUUAUGGGGAAGGUGGUGAUCGAAAGGUGUUUGAGACCUGAAUGGGAACUCUGUUACAGAUUGCUGAGAGACCAGACAACUCAAGGUUACAGGGGACAAGCAGGACACAGUGCAUGGCAGUAAUCCAGUCUUGAAGCAACCAGGGCAUGAACUAUGGUAGCCAGGCUCUCUUGGUCCUGGAAUGGCAGGAGUUAGUACCUCCUUUCUCUGCAAGCCCUGAAUGCUCUUGGCUGCCUCUUUGCAGCUGUUAGGAAGUCCUACAGUUCGUUCAACGGCAGAAAGAUGGAAGCAAUUGGUAGGGAUGUGCCGGCAGGUCUCUAUUAGGCUAAACGUAUUUCUGUUCUGCAUCAUGUCUUCUACGCUCAGGCGACUGAGAAAUUUCUGACACUAAAAAGGAGCAACAAAGUGGCCCCGCUCCAGCGCCAGGAACAGCCUGUGGCACCAGUUGUGCCACAGCUCUUCAAGGCUUUUCCAGAGCCUGAGCCAUUGGACCUUGAAAAGCUCUUCUUGGUCCAGAAUAUAGGGACUUGUAUGGAGGCAGCACAGAGGGACUUCAAAACCAUUGAGCUGCCAAACAUCUGGCUGCUGAAGGAAUUUUGGAUAUCCUGGGGCACCUGGACCAGUUUGAGGACCGCCCUGGAAUCCUUGCCUUGGCCCUUGAAGCCUUCUUUCAGUUGAGCUUCAUGAAGCUCACAGGACCAUCCUGCACUCUGCCUUUCAGGCAGUUGCAGAUGAAGACAAUGAAGAGGACCAGGGGAAAUUGUAUUUCAGGCUGAAAUUGGUCAUGCUUGGAUUCAACCAGAACUGAUGUUCCAUCUUUGAGAGAAUCAAAAAGAAGAAGAGGAAAUCCUCUGAGCUAUAUAUUAGUUUGAAGACUAACUGUAAAUUCAAUGGAGAUAGGAGAGCAUGCAGUUGCUGAUCCAUUUACUGCCCCUACCUAUGAGGAAGGGCCUUAGAUUGGUGACAGAGUCUACCUUGCAUGCAGAAGGUCCCAGGUUCAAUCCCCAAUGUCUUCAGGUAGGGAUGGGGAAAGACUCCUGCCCAUCUGCAGAUUUGUGUCUUGAUUCUGGAGUAUGUGUGUAAAUCGUAAAUGAAUUGUGGGAUGGGCAGCAGUCGCUUAAUUCUGCAGGUUAUUGAACAACAAAGCUGGAACUGCAAGAAGGAUCCAGAUCCAAAUUAAUUUAUCCCGCUGUCUGUGCUUUUGUGUAAUAGGAAAAAGGUAUCAGCUGUCAAUAAUAGUACCCCCAUGAUAAUUAUUUGUAUCCACUUUGUCCCAAACAUGUAUUGCCAGUAUGUGCAAGAAGAAAGAAUUGUCAGCAAUCAGUAUUUAUAAAAUUGAAGAAGCGGUUUUUGUACUUCCCUAGCCAGGAUGCGGAUCAAUCCCUUAAUCCCUUCAGUGUAAGAAUACGUUCAGUUAUAUUCCUCUUUACUUUCUUUAGAUUUAUUCAUAAUGAUUCCUUUACAUUUACUAGUAAUGGAGUUACAAAGAAUGAACACAGUGGAAGCCAGAAAAAUCUACAUUAAACUAGUUUUCCCCCCCCUCCACAUCCUUGGAGUAUAUAAACAGCACCAGCUUAGCUCCCCUUAGACCUUAUUAUAAAAUAAACAGAACUAUAUCCAACCUACAACAUGCUUCUCUACAUUUGCCUUUUGCACCACUUUGUCAUUUCCUCCAAACCAAAUAAUCAGCAGAUUAUUCAAUUUAUCCCGGAUAAUUCACUUUCAGUUUGCAAAAUCAAGGCAACCGAUGAAGAUCUCAGAUAUGGAUGCACCAUAAUUUUGACGACGAUAACCCCAGGGUGUCGUGAAUCCACCAGUGACCUUUGGGUGGUGUUCAUUCAUAUUGCUUCUCUUCUGGCAAAUGUGCUGCCCAACUCUGCCCAUAGUUAAAUAAAUCCCCACCUUUGCUUCAAAAUCAUUUAUAGCAUGUGUUUGUCCCAACUGCUUCCCCUGGCAGAAUACUCUACAAUCCAAUGACGUCUGGAAGGACAAGCAUAUCCUAUUAUCUAGUCAAAGCCUCCUGGCACUUCAACAGAAAGGUAUAUCAACUCACAGCAUAUUUCCUGCAGCACAGACAAAUGAAUUCCUCCAAAGGAGCUUCAAAUCAAUUUGGGUACCAAAGGGACUCUGUGUCAACCAUCUUUUUCAUAUGUGUCUCGCAGCCAUCGGAGAUGGCACGUGCCCAGAAGCCAGCUAUUGUUUGCACAGGCAGGUGUAUUCAUGUUGCCUAUUUAUUUAUUUCAAAGCAUGUCUAAACUGCUUCAUAUUUAAAACCUCUAAGAAGCAUGCAAAAAUACAGCAUAAAAGCAACAAUAUAAUAGCACAAAAACAGAAAAACCACUUUGAGAUUUUUUUGUUUUUUGUUUAGAAACACAUACUUCUUAGAGAUUUAUUUAUUGACUGUGUGUGGUACUGUAUAUCAGUCUUUGUAAAUCUGCUCCUGCCAACCUAGCAGUUUGAAAGCACAUC
Non-coding RNA from Podarcis muralis (Common wall lizard), 4852 nucleotides. Lineage: Eukaryota; Metazoa; Chordata; Lepidosauria; Squamata; Lacertidae. The record is from RefSeq and is a predicted model, not a curated record.